UCCUGGGGGGCUUAAGGGUAAAGAAUCUGCCUGCCAAGCAGGAGACACGGGUUCAAUCCCUGGGUCGGGAA
RNAcentral lists this transfer RNA (71 nucleotides) under Ovis aries (sheep). It matches the Rfam family "tRNA". Rfam says of the family: Transfer RNA (tRNA) molecules are approximately 80 nucleotides in length. Their secondary structure includes four short double-helical elements and three loops (D, anti-codon, and T loops). The record is from Rfam by way of RNAcentral. Lineage: Eukaryota; Metazoa; Chordata; Mammalia; Artiodactyla; Bovidae.